Molecule: ribosomal RNA, 550 nt
Filed under: marine bacterium SIMO-4424
Lineage: Bacteria
Description: bacterial SSU rRNA
Rfam family: Bacterial small subunit ribosomal RNA
Source: RNAcentral
AGUAACGCGUAGGAAUCUACCUAGUAGAGGGGGACAACAUGUGGAAACGCAUGCUAAUACCGCAUACGCCCUAAGGGGGAAAGGAGGGGACUUUUCGGAGCCUUCCGCUAUUAGAUGAGCCUGCGUAAGAUUAGCUAGUUGGUAGGGUAAAGGCCUACCAAGGCGACNAUCUUUAACUGGUCUGAGAGGAUGACCAGUCACACUGGGACUGAGACACGGCCCAGACUCCUACGGGAGGCAGCAGUGGGGAAUAUUGGACAAUGGGCGCAAGCCUGAUCCAGCCAUGCCGCGUGUGUGAAGAAGGCCUUAGGGUUGUAAAGCACUUUCAGGGGUGAGGAAGGGUAGCUAGUUAAUACCUAGUUAUUUUGACGUUAGCCCCAGAAGAAGCACCGGCUAACUCUGUGCCAGCAGCCGCGGUAAUACAGAGGGUGCAAGCGUUAAUCGGAAUUACUGGGCGUAAAGCGCGCGUAGGUGGUUUGUUAAGUCGGAUGUGAAAUCCCAGGGCUCAACCUUGGAAUGGCACCCGAUACUGGCAGGCUAGAGUAUGGUA